AAUCCAUAGGUUAAUGAGGCGAACCGGGGGAACUGAAACAUCUAAGUACCCCGAGGAAAAGAAAUCAACCGAGAUUCCCCCAGUAGCGGCGAGCGAACGGGGAGGAGCCCAGAGCCUGAAUCAGCAUGUGUGUUAGUGGAAGCGUCUGGAAAGGCGCGCGAUACAGGGUGACAGCCCCGUACACAAAAGCGCAUGUGCUGUGAGCUCGAUGAGUAGGGCGGGACACGUGGUAUCCUGUCUGAAUAUGGGGGGACCAUCCUCCAAGGCUAAAUACUCCUGACUGACCGAUAGUGAACCAGUACCGUGAGGGAAAGGCGAAAAGAACCCCGGCGAGGGGAGUGAAAAAGAACCUGAAACCGUGUACGUACAAGCAGUGGGAGCACCCUUCGGGGUGUGACUGCGUACCUUUUGUAUAAUGGGUCAGCGACUUAUAUUCUGUAGCAAGGUUAACCGUAUAGGGGAGCCGGAGGGAAACCGAGUCUUAAUUGGGCGUUAAGUUGCAGGGUAUAGACCCGAAACCCGGUGAUCUAGCCAUGGGCAGGUUGAAGGUUGGGUAACACUAACUGGAGGACCGAACCGACUAAUGUUGAAAAAUUAGCGGAUGACCUGUGGCUGGGGGUGAAAGGCCAAUCAAACCGGGAGAUAGCUGGUUCUCCCCGAAAGCUAUUUAGGUAGCGCCUCGUGAAUUCAUCUCCGGGGGUAGAGCACUGUUUCGGCUAGGGGGCCAUCCCGGCUUACCAACCCGAUGCAAACUGCGAAUACCGGAGAAUGUUAUCACGGGAGACACACGGCGGGUGCUAACGUCCGUCGUGAAGAGGGAAACAACCCAGACCGCCAGCUAAGGUCCCAAAGUCAUGGUUAAGUGGGAAACGAUGUGGGAAGGCCCAGACAGCCAGGAUGUUGGCUUAGAAGCAGCCAUCAUUUAAAGAAAGCGUAAUAGCUCACUGGUCGAGUCGGCCUGCGCGGAAGAUGUAACGGGGCUAAACCAUGCACCGAAGCUGCGGCAGCGAACGUAUCACCCAAGACAACUUUACGGAGUUGACGAUUGACGGAGCGAAGCGACGUCAAAGCGUUCAUUAAAGUCGAGUUGGCUUAGGGAUACGUUCGUUGGGUAGGGGAGCGUUCUGUAAGCCUGUGAAGGUGUGUCGUGAGGCAUGCUGGAGGUAUCAGAAGUGCGAAUGCUGACAUAAGUAACGAUAAAGCGGGUGAAAAGCCCGCUCGCCGGAAGACCAAGGGUUCCUGUCCAACGUUAAUCGGGGCAGGGUGAGUCGACCCCUAAGGCGAGGCCGAAAGGCGUAGUCGAUGGGAAACGGGUUAAUAUUCCCGUACUUGGUGUUACUGCGAAGGGGGGACGGAGAAGGCUAUGUUGGCCGGGCGACGGUUGUCCCGGUUUAAGCGUGUAGGUGUGUGUUCCAGGUAAAUCCGGUUCACUUUAACACUGAGGCGUGACGACGAGGCACUACGGUGCUGAAGCAACAAAUGCCCUGCUUCCAGGAAAAGCCUCUAAGCAUCAGGUAACAUCAAAUCGUACCCCAAACCGACACAGGUGGUCAGGUAGAGAAUACCAAGGCGCUUGAGAGAACUCGGGUGAAGGAACUAGGCAAAAUGGUGCCGUAACUUCGGGAGAAGGCACGCUGACACGUAGGUGAAGUGAUUUACUCAUGGAGCUGAAGUCAGUCGAAGAUACCAGCUGGCUGCAACUGUUUAUUAAAAACACAGCACUGUGCAAA
This 1730-nucleotide ribosomal RNA is filed under the name Salmonella enterica subsp. enterica serovar Typhimurium. RNAcentral's name for it is "partial 23S ribosomal RNA". It matches the Rfam family "Bacterial large subunit ribosomal RNA", at positions 161 to 1829 of the family's 2925-position model. Lineage: Bacteria; Pseudomonadati; Pseudomonadota; Gammaproteobacteria; Enterobacterales; Enterobacteriaceae. The record is from RNAcentral.